Molecule: ribosomal RNA, 305 nt
Filed under: uncultured bacterium
Lineage: Bacteria
Description: bacterial SSU rRNA
Rfam family: Bacterial small subunit ribosomal RNA
Source: RNAcentral
UAAUCCUACGGGACGCAGCAGUGGGGGAUAUUGGACAAUGGGGGAAACCCUGAUCCAGCGAUGCCGCGUGAGGGAAGAAGGUUUUCGGAUUGUAAACCUCUGUGGAGGGGGACGAUAAUGACGGUACCCCUUUAGGAAGCCACGGCUAACUACGUGCCAGCAGCCGCGGUAAUACGUAGGGGGCAAGCGUUAUCCGGAUUUACUGGGUGUAAAGGGAGCGUAGACGGCUGUGCAAGUCUGAAGUGAAAGCCCGUGGCUCAACCGCGGAACUGCUUUGGAAACUGUAUAGCUUGAGUACUGGAGAG